CCUAGCUUUUUCUUAGACGGACAACAGUUUCACAGGCCUAUAAUGUUGCCAUACAUAAGCAGCAACUAUUUCCUUGCCUGACAUUAAAGACAAGAGCUGCUGGAGGAGAGUCUGUCGCAGGUGGUGGCUGCUCUCUGUUCGUGCAUGGUGGAGCUGGUUGGCCAGAUCAGGUUUGGUUGAAUGUGGAGUUGGUUCUGUUAUUGUCGUACAUGGUGGCUAUUACCAUCGAACACGUUGAAGAGGGGAGGAGUUGUUGGCUGUCAGCUGGAGGAUGGGAGUUUUUGUGCUGUUGGUGGUGAGGAGUUGCUCGCCGUGAGUUGAAGGGAAGGGCUUGGAUAGAGACAGAUAAAAGAAAAUGGCGUGGGG
Molecule: long non-coding RNA, 366 nt
Filed under: Populus tremula
Lineage: Eukaryota; Viridiplantae; Streptophyta; Magnoliopsida; Malpighiales; Salicaceae
Description: long non-coding RNA (PTRE_LNC000229)
Source: RNAcentral